CCUGACUACUGCUUCCUGGUCUGGGGAAUAGAGUUGGAGGGGCCACCCUUAGUCACCUGAAUUUGACCCUCUCCACAGCAACAACAGAAGAAACAAAUGGAACGUCAGCUGGAAGAAGAAAAGAAAGCAAACAAGGAAAUACACAGAGCACAAACGGAGCAGUUAGAGACAAUCAACAUCCUCACAUUGGAAAAGGCAGACUUGAAGACCACCCUUUACCAUACUAAACGUGCCGCCAGACACUUCGAAGGAGAGUCCAAGGAUCUGGCUAGCCACCUGCAAUCCUCCUUACAGCGUAUUCAAGAAUUGGAGCAGGCUCUCUCUGCUGUGUCUACACAGCAGCAGGAAGAGGACAGGGUGAGUCCAACCAGCUGCCCCAUCCCUUUGCAACCUGGCUUGACAGAUAGAGGAGUGAGCCUAAAGGUCUCUGCUGCAGGAUGCAGUGUCCUGCCCAGAAGGCAGCAGGAUCAUUUCAAGCUGCUUUUGUGUAUGGUUGUUAGAGGCAGCCUGGGGCUAAGUCAGCUACUGUGGGUAAGUUGGGGGCGCUGUGGGGAGUGAGCACUGGAUACAGAGCUCAGAGGCCAAGUGCCUGCCCUGCCCUUACCUGGCUGUGGCCUUGGCCAAAUCCUAGGUGGGGUAUUGGGUACUUGUACUGUGAAGGUACAGAAGAGUACCUUUAGUACGUUACCAUUUCUGUAGAGAGAGGAAAGGUGUGUGUGUGUGUGUGUGUGUGUGUACUAUGAUAAUGUACAUAAAACAUGUCUGCAAGUGUUUGUAAAAAAACUCAGGAGAGAGUAACAGGGUGCUCGGGAGACACUUCCCUUCUGUACCUUCUGAGUUUUGGACUAUGCGAAUGUAUCAUCCUUUCAAAAAGCA
RNAcentral lists this long non-coding RNA (876 nucleotides) under Rhinopithecus bieti (black snub-nosed monkey). RNAcentral describes it as "lncRNA (ENSRBIG00000046307.1)". Lineage: Eukaryota; Metazoa; Chordata; Mammalia; Primates; Cercopithecidae. The record is from RNAcentral.